RNAcentral lists this ribosomal RNA (481 nucleotides) under uncultured bacterium. RNAcentral's name for it is "partial 16S ribosomal RNA". It matches the Rfam family "Bacterial small subunit ribosomal RNA", at positions 28 to 507 of the family's 1533-position model. The record is from RNAcentral.
GACGAACGUUGGCGGCGUGCUUAAUACAUGCAAGUCAACUGAAGCAGUGGUAGCAAUAUCGCUGUGGAGGUGGCGCACGGGUGAGUAACACGUAGGUAAUCUGCCUUCAGGUCUGGCAUAACUCCGGGAAACCGGGGCUAAUAGCAGAUGAUGCAGCGGCUCGACAUCGAGACAGUUGUUAAAGCUAUGGCGCCUGAAGAUGAGCCUGCGUCUGAUUAGCUAGUUGGCGGGGUAACGGCCCACCAAGGCAACGAUCAGUAGCUGGUCUGAGAGGAUGGUCAGCCACACUGGAACUGAGACACGGUCCAGACUCCUACGGGAGGCAGCAGUAAGGAAUAUUGCUCAAUGGGAGAAAUCCUGAAGCAGCAACGCCGCGUGAGGGACGAAGGGCUUUUGCUUGUAAACCUCUGUAGUGAGAGAAAAAAAUCCCAAUCUUUGGGACAUGAUGGUAUCUCAAAAGUAAGCCCCGGCUAACUACGUG